GACUCUACUUUAAAUGCAGGAAGAACGCUGGCCUAUUCUGUGUCACAAAAGAUAGAGCUUCAGCUACCCCCACGCAAGAUCGAGAAAGACAGAAGAAGAAAGCUAAAACCAAGUACCAACCCAAACGCUCCCAAUCCACUUUUCUUCCCGUUCAUCUCUUCCACCUGCAGUCUGCACAAGACCUCAAAGCAAAAUAGGAGAAUGAAAUCCAUCGUAAACCUUCACAGCUCCUCUGGCAUUCCUCUCUGUGUCUUAGGGAUCACGCACCGUCUCACUUUUCCUGUGGAGAUAGCGGAUCAUGAUCGCAGAAGGGAAGCCAUGAAAAAGCAAAGAUCUCGAAGAAGAGAGACUUAUUCCGCCCCAAACCAAGACAUGGGUAGUGGGAGAAGAAUCCAAGGAAACUUCAAGGGGAUCAAAGAAGGUGGAGCACUUGACCAAGAUCUGGCCGGAGAUCUGGAUGAGUGGUAUUUUAGCUUAAUGGGUUAUACAGCCAAAGCUGCUUAGCAGGCGGACUGCUACCACGGCCAAAUGAUCAUCUGCCUCUUUAGCCUAAGAACAAAAAAAAAAAGUGUUCUGACUCCUUGUCUGAUCUCAUUUUCAAUUAAUUUCUCUAUCUUGGCAUGUUUGUUUCAUUCUCGAUUGUUAUAUAUUUUUCUUCUUUGAAACUCUUCUCAUGAGCUGAAUACAUGAGAUGAGCAGUAAGCAGUAGAGAAGCAGCUAGCUAGUACAUGCCCCUUUCCGUCUCUGUCAUGUCCGACCAAGAGAUUAAAAUCUGAGAUCUUUUUAGCUUUGUGUGAA
Long non-coding RNA from Nelumbo nucifera (sacred lotus), 798 nucleotides. RefSeq lists it as uncharacterized. The record is from RefSeq and is a predicted model, not a curated record. Lineage: Eukaryota; Viridiplantae; Streptophyta; Magnoliopsida; Proteales; Nelumbonaceae.